This 409-nucleotide ribosomal RNA is filed under the name uncultured bacterium. RNAcentral describes it as "bacterial SSU rRNA". It matches the Rfam family "Bacterial small subunit ribosomal RNA", at positions 42 to 479 of the family's 1533-position model. The record is from RNAcentral.
UCAGGCCUAACACAUGCAAGUCGAGCGGGGUUUUCGGACCUAGCGGCGGACGGGUGAGUAAUGCGUAGGAAGCUACCCGACAGAGGGGGAUACCAGUUGGGAACGACUGUUAAUACCGCAUAAUGUCUACGGACCAAAGUGUGGGACUUUCGGGCCACAUGCUGUCGGAUGCGCCUACGUGGGAUUAGCUAGUUGGUGAGGUAAUGGCUCACCAAGGCGACGAUCCCUAGCUGGUUUGAGAGGAUGAUCAGCCACACUGGAACUGAGACACGGUCCAGACUCCUACGGGAGGCAGCAGUGGGGAAUAUUGGACAAUGGGCGCAAGCCUGAUCCAAAAGAGCCGCGUGUGUGAAGAAGGCCUUCGGGUUUCUUUUACGACAGCGAGGAGGAAGGGUUGUGUGUUAAUAGC